RNAcentral lists this ribosomal RNA (426 nucleotides) under uncultured bacterium. RNAcentral describes it as "bacterial SSU rRNA". It matches the Rfam family "Bacterial small subunit ribosomal RNA", at positions 506 to 930 of the family's 1533-position model. The record is from RNAcentral.
UGCCAGCAGCCGCGGUAAUACGUAGGGAGCGAGCGUUGUCCGGAAUUACUGGGCGUAAAGGGCGUGUAGGCGGGAAUUUAAGUAAGGUGUGAAAACUCCGGGCUCAACCUGGAGACUGCACUUUAAACUGGAUUUCUUGAGGGCAGGAGAGGAAAGUGGAAUUCCUAGUGUAGCGGUGAAAUGCGUAGAUAUUAGGAGGAACACCAGUGGCGAAGGCGACUUUCUGGACUGUACCUGACGCUGAGGCGCGAAAGCGUGGGUAGCGAACAGGAUUAGAUACCCUGGUAGUCCACGCUGUAAACGAUGAAUACUAGGUGUAGGGGGUAUCGACCCCCUCUGUGCCGCAGUUAACACAAUAAGUAUUCCGCCUGGGGAGUACGACCGCAAGGUUGAAACUCAAAGGAAUUGACGGGGGCCCGCACAAGC